This 487-nucleotide ribosomal RNA is filed under the name uncultured bacterium. Its description in RNAcentral is "partial 16S ribosomal RNA". It matches the Rfam family "Bacterial small subunit ribosomal RNA", at positions 30 to 507 of the family's 1533-position model. The record is from RNAcentral.
AUUGAACGCUGGCGGCAUGCCUUACACAUGCAAGUCGAACGGCAGCACGGGUGCUUGCACCUGGUGGCGAGUGGCGAACGGGUGAGUAAUACAUCGGAACAUGUCCUGUAGUGGGGGAUAGCCCGGCGAAAGCCGGAUUAAUACCGCAUACGAUCUACGGAUGAAAGCGGGGGACCUUCGGGCCUCGCGCUAUAGGGUUGGCCGAUGGCUGAUUAGCUAGUUGGUGGGGUAAAGGCCUACCAAGGCGACGAUCAGUAGCUGGUCUGGGAGGACGACCAGCCACACUGGGACUGAGACACGGCCCAGACUCCUACGGGAGGCAGCAGUGGGGAAUUUUGGACAAUGGGCGAAAGCCUGAUCCAGCAAUGCCGCGUGUGUGAAGAAGGCCUUCGGGUUGUAAAGCACUUUUGUCCGGAAAGAAAUCCUUGGCCCUAAUACGGUCGGGGGGAUGACGGUACCGGAAGAAUAAGCACCGGCUAACUACGUG